CGUUGCGAGACAGAAUCUGAAAGAAGCUGGCGGCAAAUAUCUGGCCUGACGGACAGAAAUCACAUAAAAGUCAUAAGGCCAAGGAGGAGGUGGCAAAAAGCACUAAAGUCCGAUAGCUAUACGGAACGGCUGGUGUAAAUGUGGCAGGCAUAAGAUGGAAAGAA
This 164-nucleotide non-coding RNA is filed under the name bovine gut metagenome. The record is from RNAcentral.